This is a small nucleolar RNA of Nannospalax galili (Upper Galilee mountains blind mole rat), 133 nucleotides long. The record is from Ensembl. Lineage: Eukaryota; Metazoa; Chordata; Mammalia; Rodentia; Spalacidae.
ACUGCCCAUAGAGGCAUUAUAGGUGUAACUAAUGUGCCACACACUGUGUCAGUAGGUGACUGAGAGGAGAGAGGCUAUGUCUGUGCUCAGUGUGGUGACCUGUGAGCAUUUGAAUGAUUAGUAGCCUGACACU